This 253-nucleotide ribosomal RNA is filed under the name uncultured bacterium. RNAcentral describes it as "partial 16S ribosomal RNA". It matches the Rfam family "Bacterial small subunit ribosomal RNA", at positions 524 to 776 of the family's 1533-position model. The record is from RNAcentral.
UACGUAGGGGGCUAGCGUUGUCCGGAAUCAUUGGGCGUAAAGCGCGUGUAGGCGGCCCGGUAAGUCCGCUGUGAAAGUCGGGGGCUCAACCCUCGGAUGCCGGUGGAUACUGUCGGGCUCGAGUACGGAAGAGGCGAGUGGAAUUCCUGGUGUAGCGGUGAAAUGCGCAGAUAUCAGGAGGAACACCGAUUGCGAAGGCAGCUCGCUGGGACGUUACUGACGCUGAGACGCGAAAGCGUGGGGAGCGAACAGG